ACCAAUGAGCUCUCUCUCCCGAAUCUGGCGGAUACGACUCCCAGCAUGACAUACCAAAACAACUCAUAAAACAGCAUAAAAUAUGUUUUUGUUUUGGUUGAUAGGAUCCCGGACAGAUCAUUGUUGUGGACUGUCUGAGUUUUUAAAGAAAAGUGUCGGAGGGCGAAGGAUUGCGGCAACAAAAAAAUACGCACUGCUUUACGGUACCUGGUCCCCCGACAACGACCAACCAAGCGGCGGCGGACGUGGUACGGAGGACGCUUCUAAAAAAAAAAAAACGAAAACGAAACUAUUGGCACUACGCCCCCCGGGGCAUGGCCUUCCUCUAACGUAGGAUUUCUGCUCCAGCGCCUCUGACGAGACAGGAGAAACCGGGACCGACGUUUUACUUCACCAUCCGAUAGAAGCUCAGUGGAUAAGGCGGGAAUCGAACCCGCGUCUCAUAGCAUCAUCGGGAUCGGCAGCCGAAGCCGCUACCCCUGCGCCACGAGACCCACGGACGCUUCUAGAAACCUUAAAAAAGAGCACGCCAUCCGCUUCGUGGUCAUGGUCUGUCAGAGAACCUCAAGACGAACGUCGAGUACAUUAAGAUUGCCGGAACCCGGGCGGAUCGGCUAUCAACAACUUCGCCAACGGCAAACUCAUAAUUACGCACGCAGAUGCAGGUCGUCUGGGCCGCUUGGGACAACGUGUCCGAAAAUCUAAAAAUGCACGAGUUGCUGAGACUAGUGUUUCUGAGGCCACCGGAGUGGGCGGAAACAUAGAGGUUGCGGCGGUUAAGGGGUUACAUACAUGUAGAAAAUCACAAAAUGUCAUAUUACAGAUUUUUUUUUGAAUCCA
Culex quinquefasciatus (southern house mosquito) is the source of this 840-nucleotide long non-coding RNA. RefSeq lists it as uncharacterized. NCBI's taxonomy places the organism in Eukaryota, Metazoa, Arthropoda, Insecta, Diptera, Culicidae. The transcript has 2 exons. The record is from RefSeq and is a predicted model, not a curated record.